UUAAGUGACUAAGCGUACACGGUGGAUGCCUAGGCAGUCAGAGGCGAUGAAGGACGUGCUAAUCUGCGAUAAGCGUCGGUGAGCUGAUAUGAAGCAUUAUUAGCCGGCGAUGUCCGAAUGGGGAAACCCAGUGCAAUUCGUUGCACUAUCGUUAAGUGAAUCCAUAGCUUAACGAGGCGAACCAGGGGAACUGAAACAUCUAAGUACCCUGAGGAAAAGAAAUCAACCGAGAUUCCCCCAGUAGCGGCGAGCGAACGGGGAGCAGCCCAGAACCUGAAUCAGUUUGUGCAUUAGUGGAAGCGUCUGGAAAGUCGCGCGAUACCGGGUGAUAGCCCCGUACACGAAGGUGCGCAACUGUGAGUUCGAUGAGUAGGGCGGGACACGUGUUAUCCUGUCUGAAUAUGGGGGGACCAUCCUCCAAGGCUAAAUACUCCUGACUGACCGAUAGUGAACCAGUACCGUGAGGGAAAGGCGAAAAGAACCCCGGCGAGGGGAGUGAAAUAGAACCUGAAACCGUGUACGUACAAGCAGUGGGAGCACCCUUUGGGGUGUGACUGCGUACCUUUUGUAUAAUGGGUCAGCGACUUAUAUUUUGUAGCAAGGUUAACCGAAUAGGGGAGCCGUAGGGAAACCGAGUCUUAACUGGGCGUUGAGUUGCAAGGUAUAGACCCGAAACCCGGUGAUCUAGCCAUGGGCAGGUUGAAGGUUGGGUAACACUAACUGGAGGACCGAACCGACUAAUGUUGAAAAAUUAGCGGAUGACUUGUGGCUGGGGGUGAAAGGCCAAUCAAACCGGGAGAUAGCUGGUUCUCCCCGAAAGCUAUUUAGGUAGCGCCUCGUGAACUCAUCUUCGGGGGUAGAGCACUGUUUCGGCUAGGGGGUCAUCCCGACUUACCAACCCGAUGCAAACUGCGAAUACCGAAGAAUGUUAUCACGGGAGACACACGGCGGGUGCUAACGUCCGUCGUGAAGAGGGAAACAACCCAGACCGCCAGCUAAGGUCCCAAAGUCAUGGUUAAGUGGGAAACGAUGUGGGAAGGCAUAGACAGCCAGGAUGUUGGCUUAGAAGCAGCCAUCAUUUAAAGAAAGCGUAAUAGCUCACUGGUCGAGUCGGCCUGCGCGGAAGAUGUAACGGGGCUAAACCAUGCACCGAAGCUGCGGCAGCGACACUAUGUGUUGUUGGGUAGGGGAGCGUUCUGUAAGCCUGUGAAGGUGACCUGUGAGGGUUGCUGGAGGUAUCAGAAGUGCGAAUGCUGACAUAAGUAACGAUAAAGCGGGUGAAAAGCCCGCUCGCCGGAAGACCAAGGGUUCCUGUCCAACGUUAAUCGGGGCAGGGUAAGUCGACCCCUAAGGCGAGGCCGAAAGGCGUAGUCGAUGGGAAACAGGUUAAUAUUCCUGUACUUGGUGUUAUUGCGAAGGGGGGACGGAGAAGGCUAGGCCGGCCGGGCGACGGUUGUCCCGGUUUAAGCGUGUAGGUGUGAUGACCUGGCAAAUCCGGUCAUCUUCAACACUGAGGCGUGAUGACGAGGCACUACGGUGCUGAAGUGGUUGAUGCCCUGCUUCCAGGAAAAGCCUCUAAGCUCUAGAUAACACUGAAUCGUACCCCAAACCGACACAGGUGGUCAGGUAGAGAAUACCAAGGCGCUUGAGAGAACUCGGGUGAAGGAACUAGGCAAAAUGGUGCCGUAACUUCGGGAGAAGGCACGCUGGCAUGUAGGUGAAGUCCCUCGCGGAUGGAGCUGAAGCCAGUCGAAGAUACCAGCUGGCUGCAACUGUUUAAUAAAAACACAGCACUCUGCAAACACGAAAGUGGACGUAUAGGGUGUGACGCCUGCCCGGUGCUGGAAGGUUAAUUGAUGGGGUCAGCCGCAAGGCGAAGCUCUUGAUCGAAGCCCCAGUAAACGGCGGCCGUAACUAUAACGGUCCUAAGGUAGCGAAAUUCCUUGUCGGGUAAGUUCCGACCUGCACGAAUGGCGUAAUGAUGGCCAGGCUGUCUCCACCCGAGACUCAGUGAAAUUGAACUCGCUGUGAAGAUGCAGUGUACCCGCGGCAAGACGGAAAGACCCCGUGAACCUUUACUAUAGCUUGACACUGAACAUUGAACCUUGAUGUGUAGGAUAGGUGGGAGGCUUUGAAGUGUGGACGCCAGUCUGCAUGGAGCCGACCUUGAAAUACCACCCUUUAAUGUUUGAUGUUCUAACCUGGUCCCGUAAUCCGGGAUAGGGACAGUGUCUGGUGGGUAGUUUGACUGGGGCGGUCUCCUCCCAAAGCGUAACGGAGGAGCACGAAGGUUAGCUAAUCCUGGUCGGACAUCAGGAGGUUAGUGCAAAGGCAUAAGCUAGCUUGACUGCGAGAGUGACGGCUCGAGCAGGUGCGAAAGCAGGUCUUAGUGAUCCGGUGGUUCUGAAUGGAAGGGCCAUCGCUCAACGGAUAAAAGGUACUCCGGGGAUAACAGGCUGAUACCGCCCAAGAGUUCAUAUCGACGGCGGUGUUUGGCACCUCGAUGUCGGCUCAUCACAUCCUGGGGCUGAAGUAGGUCCCAAGGGUAUGGCUGUUCGCCAUUUAAAGUGGUACGCGAGCUGGGUUUAGAACGUCGUGAGACAGUUCGGUCCCUAUCUGCCGUGGGCGUUGGAAGAUUGAGAGGGGCUGCUCCUAGUACGAGAGGACCGGAGUGGACGCACCGCUGGUGUUCGGGUUGUGAUGCCAAUUGCAUUGCCCGGUAGCUACGUGCGGAAGAGAUAAGCGCUGAAAGCAUCUAAGCGCGAAACUUGCCUCGAGAUGAGUCUUCCCUUGGACCUAGAGUCCACUAAAGGAACGUUUAAGACUAAGACGUUGAUAGGCUGGGUGUGUAAGCGUAGCGAUACGUUGAGCUAACCAGUACUAAUGAUCCGUGAGGCUUAACCUU
Molecule: ribosomal RNA, 2905 nt
Filed under: Edwardsiella hoshinae
Lineage: Bacteria; Pseudomonadati; Pseudomonadota; Gammaproteobacteria; Enterobacterales; Hafniaceae
Description: bacterial LSU rRNA
Rfam family: Bacterial large subunit ribosomal RNA
Source: RNAcentral